Pyrenochaeta sp. DS3sAY3a is the source of this 120-nucleotide ribosomal RNA. Lineage: Eukaryota; Fungi; Ascomycota; Dothideomycetes; Pleosporales; Cucurbitariaceae. The record is from Rfam.
ACAUACGACCAUAGGACACUGAAAGCAAGGCUUCCCGUUCGCUCAGCCCUAUUUAAGCAGUGUACCGGCGGACUAGUAGUACGGUGGGUGACCACGCGCGAAUCCCUGCUGUUGUAUGUU